RNAcentral lists this ribosomal RNA (253 nucleotides) under uncultured bacterium. RNAcentral describes it as "partial 16S ribosomal RNA". It matches the Rfam family "Bacterial small subunit ribosomal RNA", at positions 524 to 776 of the family's 1533-position model. The record is from RNAcentral.
UACGAAGGGGGCUAGCGUUGCUCGGAAUCACUGGGCGUAAAGCGCACGUAGGCGGAUUGCUAAGUCAGGGGUGAAAUCCUGGAGCUCAACUCCAGAACUGCCCUUGAUACUGGCGGUCUCGAGUCCGGGAGAGGUGAGUGGAACUGCGAGUGUAGAGGUGAAAUUCGUAGAUAUUCGCAAGAACACCAGUGGCGAAGGCGGCUCACUGGCCCGGUACUGACGCUGAGGUACGAAAGCGUGGGGAGCAAACAGG